UAAAUAAAUGUGAAAAAAGUUACUGUUUGC
RNAcentral lists this non-coding RNA (30 nucleotides) under Mus musculus (house mouse). Lineage: Eukaryota; Metazoa; Chordata; Mammalia; Rodentia; Muridae. The record is from RNAcentral.